This 422-nucleotide ribosomal RNA is filed under the name uncultured bacterium. RNAcentral describes it as "partial 16S ribosomal RNA". It matches the Rfam family "Bacterial small subunit ribosomal RNA", at positions 360 to 774 of the family's 1533-position model. The record is from RNAcentral.
AAUAUUGGACAAUGGGCGAAAGCCUGAUACAGCCAUGCCGCGUGUGUGAAGAAGGNCUNNGGAUUNUNAAGCACUUUAAGUAGNNNNNAAGGGCAGCAANUUAAUACCUUGCUGUUAUGACGUUACCGACAGAAUAAGCACCGGCGAACUUCGUGCCAGCAGCCGCGGUAAUACGAAGGGUGCAAGCGUUAAUCGGAAUUAUGGGGAUUAAAGCGCGUGUAGGUGGUUUAUUAAGUUGGAAGUGAAAGCCCCGGGCUCAACCUGGGAACUGCUUUCAAAACUGGCAAGCUAGAGUAUGGCAGAGGGUGGUGGAAUUUCCUGUGUAGCGGUGAAAUGCGUAGAUAUAGGAAGGAACACCAGUGGCGAAGGCGACUACCUGGACUGUUACUGACACUGAGGUGCGAAAGCGUGGGGAGCAAACA